RNAcentral lists this ribosomal RNA (505 nucleotides) under uncultured bacterium. RNAcentral's name for it is "partial 16S ribosomal RNA". It matches the Rfam family "Bacterial small subunit ribosomal RNA", at positions 28 to 507 of the family's 1533-position model. The record is from RNAcentral.
GACGAACGCUGGCGGCGUGCCUAAUACAUGCAAGUAGAACGCACAGUUUAUACCGUAGCUUGCUACACCAUAGACUGUGAGUUGCGAACGGGUGAGUAACGCGUAGGUAACCUGCCUGGUAGCGGGGGAUAACUAUUGGAAACGAUAGCUAAUACCGCAUAAUAUUAAUUAUUGCAUGAUAAUUAAUUGAAAGGUGCAAUUGCACCACUACCAGAUGGACCUGCGUUGUAUUAGCUAGUAGGUGAGGUAACGGCUCACCUAGGCGACGAUACAUAGCCGACCUGAGAGGGUGCUCGGCCACACUGGGACUGGGACACGGCCCAGACUCCUACGGGAGGCAGCAGUAGGGAAUCUUCGGCAAUGGACGAAAGUCUGACCGAGCAACGCCGCGUGAGUGAAGAAGGUUUUCGGAUCGUAAAGCUCUGUUGUAAGAGAAGAACGGGUGUGAGAGUGGAAAGUUCACACUGUGACGGUAUCUUACCAGAAAGGGACGGCUAACUACGUG